This 395-nucleotide small RNA is filed under the name Pseudomonas rhizosphaerae. Its description in RNAcentral is "Pseudomonas sRNA CrcZ". It matches the Rfam family "Pseudomonas sRNA CrcZ". Lineage: Bacteria; Pseudomonadati; Pseudomonadota; Gammaproteobacteria; Pseudomonadales; Pseudomonadaceae. The record is from Rfam by way of RNAcentral.
ACAAGAACAACAACAAGCAAGCAAACCCAUAACAAGAACAAGACGAAUCGACUCACGCAUAACAAGAACAACACGGCGGAGGCGCAGCUAACUGAUUCUUUUGGAGAGGCGUUGUUUUUGGGGAAACCCGCAGCCAGGCAGAGAACUACAACAACUGCUUUGAAGCAGAAGCCAGAACUGGUUGGAUCACAGCGAUCAUCACAGCACAGCGACCAAAGCAAUCCGUUUGCUCUUGCUCCCGAAUAGGGAGACAUCCCCGAACCAAGGUUCGGCGGACAGGGCACUCAACAAAAACAAAAAGCCCGACAAAAAAUAAAAACAGAGCAUGCAACUACUUCUUGGGGAGCUUCGGCUCCCCUUGUAGUUUCCAGCUUUCGUCCUGCCCCAGUGCGCCA